AGUCUUAUGUUCAAAAAAAUAAUGAUAUUAGAAUGCAAUUCUAAAGGUGUAGUAAAUUACUAAGGCUU
This 68-nucleotide transfer RNA is filed under the name Leptomantella tonkinae. RNAcentral's name for it is "tRNA-Cys". The record is from RNAcentral. Lineage: Eukaryota; Metazoa; Arthropoda; Insecta; Mantodea; Leptomantellidae.